Molecule: small nucleolar RNA, 110 nt
Organism: Sorghum bicolor (sorghum)
Lineage: Eukaryota; Viridiplantae; Streptophyta; Magnoliopsida; Poales; Poaceae
Rfam family: Plant small nucleolar RNA R71
About the family: R71 is a member of the C/D box family of snoRNAs containing the C (UGAUGA) and D (CUGA) box motifs. Multiple nearly identical copies of this snoRNA have been identified in Arabidopsis, and it is thought to function as a 2'-O-ribose methylation guide for 18S ribosomal RNA.
Source: Rfam
AUUCCAUGGUGAGGACAAUCUGAAAUGUAUCCUUGAAAACGCUCCCAUGCUUCGGAAAUGGUUUAUGUCUUCUGCUGUUGGAAACUGACAUUCGUCCAGUUGUUGAUGUU